ACGAACGCUGGCGGCAUGCCUAACACAUGCAAGUCGAACGCCCCCUUCGGGGGGAGUGGCGCACGGGUGCGUAACGCGUGGGAACCUGCCCUUAGGUUCGGAAUAACUCAGAGAAAUUUGAGCUAAUACCGGAUAAUGUCUUCGGACCAAAGAUUUAUCGCCUUUGGAUGGGCCCGCGUAGGAUUAGGUAGUUGGUGGGGUAAAGGCCUACCAAGCCGACGAUCCUUAGCUGGUCUGAGAGGAUGAUCAGCCACACUGGGACUGAGACACGGCCCAGACUCCUACGGGAGGCAGCAGUGGGGAAUAUUGGACAAUGGGCGAAAGCCUGAUCCAGCAAUGCCGCGUGAGUGAUGAAGGCCUUAGGGUUGUAAAGCUCUUUUACCAGGGAUGAUAAUGACAGUACCUGGAGAAUAAGCUCCGGCUAACUCCGU
This 431-nucleotide ribosomal RNA is filed under the name uncultured bacterium. Its description in RNAcentral is "bacterial SSU rRNA". It matches the Rfam family "Bacterial small subunit ribosomal RNA", at positions 29 to 506 of the family's 1533-position model. The record is from RNAcentral.